Molecule: ribosomal RNA, 254 nt
Filed under: uncultured bacterium
Lineage: Bacteria
Description: partial 16S ribosomal RNA
Rfam family: Bacterial small subunit ribosomal RNA
Source: RNAcentral
UACGUAGGCAGCAAGCGUUGUUCGGAGUUACUGGGCGUAAAGGGUGUGUAGGCGGUUAUUUAAGUUUGGUGUGAAAUCUCCCGGCUCAACCGGGAGGGUGCGCCGAAUACUGAGUGACUUCGAGUGCGGGAGAGGAUAGUGGAAUUCCUGGUGUAGCGGUGAAAUGCGCAGAUAUCAGGAGGAACACCAAUGGCGAAGGCAGCUCGCUGGGACGGUACUGACGCUGAGACGCGAAAGCGUGGGGAGCAAACAGG